RNAcentral lists this small RNA (436 nucleotides) under Pongo abelii (Sumatran orangutan). RNAcentral describes it as "processed transcript". The record is from RNAcentral. Lineage: Eukaryota; Metazoa; Chordata; Mammalia; Primates; Hominidae.
CUCAGCCAGAUCUGCAGCUCUCAGAAGGGACACACACUCCAGUGCUCCCUGGGGUAUGGCCUGGUUUCUUCUCCCUCACAGCCUUUUUCUGCCAAACUCAUCCUCAUCUGCAGUACUCAGACUGCAGGUCACCUCCUGAGAACCCCCUCCCUUUUCUGCACUGUUUCCUAAUUGCACUCCUGACCUGGGACCUGCCAGGUGCUGUAAGGAUUUGCUUACAGUCUGGCUUAGGAGGCUGUGAGCCCUGGGAGGAGUCGGGGGGUGAGGGGGAAGGGGUAGGGCUUUGUCUUUAUUCUUAUCAGGAGCAAUAGUGCUAGGGCUUGAUAAAUGGUCAUUGAGGGAGUCCACGGAUGCGGAAUUAGAACCUCGCCUCAGUAAGUUGCACAGGCGACCGACUGGACCCCACGGCCGUGAACAUCCUGCAGCAGAUCAUUGA